Molecule: long non-coding RNA, 602 nt
Filed under: Numida meleagris (helmeted guineafowl)
Lineage: Eukaryota; Metazoa; Chordata; Aves; Galliformes; Numididae
Description: lncRNA (ENSNMEG00000014323.1)
Source: RNAcentral
CCCCUUGUACUCCCACAGGGAACUCCUGGAGUGACACACACACGAGCAAACUGGAAGGCCAUGUGUGGUAGCAGAAGUUGCAGCCUAUGGUUAGUCACCACAUGCUGGGAGUAAGAGCUCUUGGGGGACAGUCUGCCCAGUCUCUAAGCUGAAAGACAAGGUGUGAGAACAGGACCCCUCUGGACUGACAGUGGGACGAACAGAACAUCUCUGUUGGGAACCUGGGAGAAAACUCGAGUGAAAGUGAUUUACUGGGUCACAGAGUCCAAUCUACUGUAUUCACAGUCAGCUCCUCCUUCCAAUGCCCAGCCAGCACCAACAGCUCCAUUCACUCUGGAGUAUCUCCCGAAGAGAAUUUGCCAAAGGAAAUACUGCAGAGCACAUUCAUAGUUCUUCAGUACCCCCUCUUACUGCUCCUAGUGCUGAUAGAACUGUCAACAGUUUUCUUUACUUUGCCCAUGUUCUUUCACAUUUACCUCCUGAAGAAGGCUGAGCUGACCAUCCUUCAGACAAUUUCUGCUGCUUUUUCUCUGACAUCCAACAAGUACAGUCUGAUUGUAUCUCUACUGGGUCUCUCAGUAGUGAUUAAAAACUUUGAGUAA